This 4026-nucleotide long non-coding RNA is filed under the name Sus scrofa (pig). Its description in RNAcentral is "lncRNA (ENSSSCG00030007116.1)". The record is from RNAcentral. Lineage: Eukaryota; Metazoa; Chordata; Mammalia; Artiodactyla; Suidae.
UACAGCAUGGUGACCCCGCUAUACUUACAUGUAUACAUUCUUUUUUCACACAUUCUGUGUUCCAUCAUAGGUGACUAGACAGAGUUCCCAGUGCUACCCAGCAGGAUCCCACUGCUAAUCCACCGAGAAGGCUACAUUCUGCAUCUAUUUACCCCAAGCUCCCAGUCUCUCCCACUCCCUCCCCUUCCCCCUUGGCAACCACAAGUCUAUUCUCCAAGUCCAUGAUUUUCUUUUCUGUGGAAAGGUUCCUUUGUGCCAUGUAUUAUAUUCCAGAACUCACCUAAAGCAGUCAACAACGAAACAGACCUCUGAAGUCUGACAGACUUUGAGUUCAAAAGGGAGACAGUGAAAAUACUGAAGGAAUUAAGAGGGGGUAUGAACAGUUAAUGCAUAUUCCCUCAGAAAGGAACUAGAAAAUAUAAGGAGGACUCAAGAAAAACUAGAAAAUUCAUUUGCAGAGAUACAAACGGAGCUAAGGGCAGUAAAAACCAGGAUGAAUAGCUCAGAGGAACGAAUUAAAAAUGCUCUGAAGUAAAAGCAGAAGGGGUGGAAGGCAGAAGAAGAAAGGAAGAAAAAUAUAGGGAGAAGAGAAGACAGAGCAAGGCAGGGAGAAGGGAUGAUGAGAUGGGGAGAGGACAGAGAAGAGGAGGAUGGGAGCCCUCAGUUCAAGGCUGCUACAGCUUUGAGAGCUGGAGAGUAAAUCUAAGGAGAAGCAGAAGAUGUGUGAAGAGGACAAGUUAACCCUUAAGUAAAGCUGCACUUCUGCUGUCACAGCCAAAAGAGGGACUUACUCAAAUAGUCCACAAAUCUCUACCUUUCCAAAGAAACUUAAAGCAAUUUUAAGAAACAAGUUGUAUACAUUCCACAUCUCAGAAAAGACCUUCUGAGUCCAAGCAAAUUAACACGAAGGGACUCGAAGCUGAUUCCUCAGUAAAGGAGAGUGGCCGAUUUUCUACAAAUGCCAUGUUUUCUGCAUCUGUUUCUAUAAAAGCAAUGUUUUAUUGAUCCAAAUAGUGGACAAUAAAGGAGUUCUCCUGUCAAGUUUGAGAAAUUGUAGGGUUUAUACUUUUAUCAUUCUGACCUGCAGACUAACCUUUUACCCAGAAAAAAAUACUUUUCCCCUUGUUAAAGUUAAAUUCAGAAAGGAAGAAUACUGAUAGGAAACUGCUUCUGAGAAAUCCAUCUCACUGAAACGAAACACAGAAUCCUGAAAAGAUGUUUUAGAAUGUAACUUUGAUUUAAAAAAAAAAAAAUCAAUCCCUCUGAAGUAACAGGAACCUCUUACCUCCAAAGAGUAAUGCAAAUCCAACACUUACUUUAAGCAAGUUACCAACUUAAUUUUGGAAGUGGUCAAGGUCUGGUGACCUUUAGAGUUGGCUAAAAGACAGCCUUGCUUUGGCUUGGCAAUAUUUUUCAAAAAGUUAUUAUGACUUUUACAUGGUCCAGGAAUCAGAGGAAAUUUUUAACAGAAAUUUAUUAUGUAACAAUUGAAAAUGCAAAGCACAUAAUUUUACUAAUUUCUUACAGGUUUUGAGUUGGAGAAUUAAAAUACUAGACAAAAUACAUAUACUAUGAAAUGAUAUUUCCAAGAAAUAUUAAAACCUUUACUAAAUAUUUAGAUUAUCUUCUGAUAUUAGGAAAACACUUAGGUAAUUACAGCAAAAGACAAUAUAAAAUAUUAUAGAAUAUAAAAAUACUAAAAUUAAAAAUCACUUAAUCCUUAAUUGUAGUAAGUACGGGUUUUUAAAAUAGCCAUUAAUGAAAAAAAUCAUGUAUCACAAAUUGUGCAGUGAUAUCAUUUAUAAUUCCAUCUACAAAAGCAAGCCGGAUGGAAAUCCUAUAAAAUUGGAUUGUAAUGAUCAAGUAUGGAAUAUAGUAAACUAAAUUCUUAUAAGAGUGACAGGGAAGGACCCAGAGGGAUACUAAGAAUAAAAACAAACAUACUCUCUCCAAAAAUUUGUUAGCUGACAGGAAGAAUCGAACCUCGAGCUCGAUGCAGUUAAUGUAACGCAAAUGCAAACUGGAGGCUGGCACUCGCCAUCUGCCUCGACGUGGACUGAAUCACAAGCUGCCGACUCUGCUGACCUUCAACACCCCCUGAAAGGAGCUCAGGGUGGAGAUAAGGAGUGAGGCAUUCUGUGCUCUGGGAAAAACUAACAGAAUAGGUCUUCAGAUAGGUACAUAUCUUCAGGAGAAUAUUUUAUGAGCCUAAUUCUUACAUAUCCUCAUAUCUAGAAAAGCACCAAAAUCCUUCAUGGUGACAUCUCUCCUCGUAACUAGCAGUAACCUUCACGAGAGCAGCAGGAACUUUCAUGAGACCAGCAAAAUGUGCACCUGACUCUAUGUACCUCCCCCUUCGCCAAAAUCGCAUAUAUACUGACCUUUCCCCAUAUCCCUUUGGAGUGGUUUCUCAGCGCUACCUGAAAUGCUGCCCCCUGGGUUAUAGUCCUCACCCUGACCCCAAAUAAAACUAAUGCACAACAUUCGUGUUGUGCUUUUUAAGCCAAAAAAAAAAAAAAAAUCACAUUCUCUUCUCCAUAACACACACUCCUUACUGAAGAAAGAAUUGAAGUGGGGGUGCUGUAAGACCUGAGAAGGGAAAGGUAUGAUUCUUUCCAUCAAAAUCCCCAUUGAAACCUAUCUGUAUACAGACAGUUUCACAAGACAGCACAGCAGUUUCACAGCAGCACGAACUUCAGGAAAUAACCAAAGAUGCUUUCUGAAUUCCAUUAAACACUCACAAAAAUCCUACUAUGUGUUUAUAAAGCUGUACCCUCUGCCUUCUUCUUCAGGCCUCCCACUCUGAAAGCGAUAUCUCUAAUAUUCCUAAUUAAAAGCAAAAGGAACCAUUGAUGAAAUACAUAAAUAACACUCUCUGAAAAAGAGAGUCUAGCCAUUUGUUUUUCUGACUAUGAAAAUGUAGCUUGUGUCAAGCAGCCAAGAUCCCUGCUGAAUCAGACCAUGAAAGGAGAGUCUUACUUGUAAUGUUACUUUUAUAUCUGCUUGUGGUCAGCCUCUCAGGCCUGGCUACUGAUCAUCAGUCCAAGGUGGAUUCCAUCCAUCAGUUACCAGGCACAUGAAACAGGCAGGGGUCAGCAGCCACCAUCGCAAUCAGCCGGGGACAAUAUGAGAUGUGCUUGUCCUUAUCAUGGCAGCUGGGCAAGGGCCACUCAGAGAGUGACCCCAGACCCCCUUUGAUGUCACAACGAAUUCACACCACACACACAAUGAUCAAGACGACCAGUCCCGCCAGCUGUGAGGCAAAACCACAGAGAAGCCAGAACAGCAAGCUGUGGAAACACCUGGCUGAUUCUGAGCCAAACAAAUUCUUAGGUGGCAACAUGGAGAAGAGAGAAUGUAUUCUUUAUUGAACACGCAUACUACAAGAAAACAAGAGGGCAAAAUGAUGUCUUAAAUGAAAUAACAAAUCAAUAAAAAUGCAGUCCUUUCUAUUUCAAAUAAGAAUCUCAGAGGAUUGUUCCCUGAUUCUGCAAUAAAAAAGGUAUAUUGCUCUGUGUUGGCACUGCAAUAUUAGUUUAUCUCCUUCAUUUCUUCCUAUUUCAGUGUAAGGCAAGGGAUCCUUAGCAUUUAAAAAGAGUCGAUCCACGUGAUUUUUCAGUUCUCCACGUCUCGGUUUGUAGAGCUCCAUAUUUCAACAUUAGUUUAUAAUGGACAUUAGUCAGAUCGUGCUAUUCCUCUGCAGAACUCACAUCAAGUCCACUUUUCACAGAACAUCAUCAUCACAUAAAUAUUCCAGCACACCGUGUCGGUCUUCCCCAACACAGCUGUUUUUUAAAAAGCGGCUACCUUUGGGUGAAAAAAAAUUUCAAACUCCAAGUCUAUUUUUGCUAAAGAUGCAGACUUUUAGAGCAGGACUUCCCAAUAAAGACAGUGCUUUGGAGUUCCUGUCGUGGCUCAGGGGUUAACGAAUCUGACUAGGAACCAUGGGUUUGCGGGCUCGAUCCCUGGCCUUGCUCAGUGGGUUGAGGAUCCAGCCUUGCCAUGAACUGUGGUGCAGGUCGCAGA